RNAcentral lists this transfer RNA (72 nucleotides) under Camelus bactrianus (Bactrian camel). It matches the Rfam family "tRNA". Rfam says of the family: Transfer RNA (tRNA) molecules are approximately 80 nucleotides in length. Their secondary structure includes four short double-helical elements and three loops (D, anti-codon, and T loops). Further hydrogen bonds mediate the characteristic L-shaped molecular structure. tRNAs have two regions of fundamental functional importance: the anti-codon, which is responsible for specific mRNA codon recognition, and the 3' end, to which the tRNAs corresponding amino acid is attached (by aminoacyl-tRNA synthetases). tRNAs cope with the degeneracy of the genetic code in two manners: having more than one tRNA (with a specific anti-codon) for a particular amino acid; and 'wobble' base-pairing, i.e. permitting non-standard base-pairing at the 3rd anti-codon position. The record is from Rfam by way of RNAcentral. Lineage: Eukaryota; Metazoa; Chordata; Mammalia; Artiodactyla; Camelidae. RNAcentral also lists the same sequence under 2 other names.
GAGGGUAUAGCUCAGUGGUAGAGUGUGUGCUUAGCAUGCAUGAGGUCUUGGGUUCAAUCCCCAGUGCCUCCA